ACGAGAAAGUGGAGCAAUCCAUGAGUAAAGUGGCGACCGGGUGAGUAACACGUGACUAACCUACCUCCGAGUGGGGAAUAACUCCGGGAAACCGGGGCUAAUACCGCAUAACAUCGCAAGAUCAAAGCAGCAAUGCGCUUGGAGAGGGGGUCGCGGCUGAUUAGCUCGUUGGCGGGGUAACGGCCCACCAAGGCGAAGAUCGGUAUCCGGCCUGAGAGGGCGCACGGACACACUGGAACUGAAACACGGUCCAGACUCCUACGGGAGGCAGCAGUGGGGAAUUUUGCGCAAUGGGGGAAACCCUGACGCAGCAACGCCGCGUGGAGGAUGAAGCCCUUUGGGGCGUAAACUCCUUUCGACUCGGACGAUAAUGACGGUACGAGUGGGAGAAGCACCGGCUAACUCUGUGCCAGCAGCCGCGGUAAUACAGAGGGUGCGAGCGUUGUUCGGAAUUAUUGGGCGUACAGGGCGCGUAGGCGGUGCGGUAAGUCACCUGUGAAAUCUCCCGGCUUAACUGGGAGC
RNAcentral lists this ribosomal RNA (522 nucleotides) under uncultured bacterium. Its description in RNAcentral is "bacterial SSU rRNA". It matches the Rfam family "Bacterial small subunit ribosomal RNA", at positions 66 to 620 of the family's 1533-position model. The record is from RNAcentral.